UUCAUCCCAGUUUCAAAAUUCUACAUUUUCAUAAUAACAAAUGGUUUCUCUGUGCUUCGUUCAUAGGUAAGUAGUCUGCAUUUUACUAUUUAUACACAGAUCCUAUGAGAUCUAGUGAUAUUCCCUAUAUCAGCCAGAUUUCCUUGAAAACAAGGCGGGCUUGUCUCUGAAUACUAGCAUAGUAAUGGGCUGCUGCUGUCAUUUUUUAAAAAAUCUAUUUAGGUAGCUAAAAAACAUCUCACACUGGCCUUCCAUGGGUAAAUGCCACCCUUCCAAGUGAUUUCUUCUGUCCCUUCUCAUAUUAGAAGGCUAACAUAUGUUCCGAACAUGUAAUGCAUAUUGUUCAGAGUUUCCCACACAUUUCAUUCUGUGAAAAUCUAAGAAAAGAGGGAUGGGAAGAAAAGAUAUUUCUUUUUGCUCACUGCAUAAACCCAGUGCACUGUACUUUAUUACCUGGACACAUAGUGCACUGCAUAUGUAUGUGUGUGUGUGUCUCCCCAAUGUCAGAACAUUUCUUAUUGGAUUCUAUUAAAAAAAAAAAAUCUUGAACCCAGCAUUUCCAUACUGCCCUGUGUUCCCUUGACUACCAGAGAUAGCUAUGCCUUGAUGGGCCCUAGAAGAGACAGCAUGUGAAAUGUGCCAGUUCCCAGAAACAGCAUACAGUCCCUGUGGGUAGAUUCUGGAUAGACAUUCCUGGAAACAACCACUCAGGACUGCUGCUUUUAGCAACAAUAGUGGCUAAGAUCUGGAUCUGAUGCAUGAGCCAGGACACUGUGCUGUAUCUUUUCUAAGUCUCUUGGAAAAGCCACUGUUGGAGAGUACUUUACUGAGUGGAUAGCCGAAUACUGGUCUCCAUGGAACAUAACCAUUAGUGUUUUCCCAUUUCAUAAGUGGGGAGUUAACCUAAAAAAUGGCCACAGAGAAAAUCUUCUGGAAUAGCAAGUUGGCAAAGGGCAUCAAAAACUCUCAAAAAACCCACAAAAUUUAUCUCAGUAAUUCUCCUUAAAAAUUUAUCCUAAGGAAAUAAUAUGUAGGAUAGUGGCCAGCACAAAGAAUAAAUGUAAGUCAUUAUUUUAAUUUUUUUUCUUACACUGCUAGGAAUCAAACCAGGACCUUGUAUGUGCCAGGCAAGCAUUCUGCCACUGAACCACAUCCCCAGCCCCUAUUAGCUGUUAUUUUAAAGAUGUGCAUCAUAUCAUAAUUUAUAAUGGUAAAAACUCAGAUUGAACCUAAAUUUUUAAGAGAAGGAGAUUGAUUAACUAUAUUGUAUUAUGUGUAUUAUGUCUACAUAAUCCAUUAACAGGUAUGUCAAUAUAAUAUACACACAGUGGUCACCAAAAGAUAUGCCAUGGUUUUCACAUUUUAGUAUGCAUCAGAAUUGCAUACAAAGGAACUUGUUUAAAGUGUAAUUGCCCAGACCCAUUUAAAGUAUUUCAAAACUAAUUGGAAAGCUCUAUAGGUUAGAAAGAAGUUAGGCUUCAUGUGAAUUUUAAGCAGAAAUAUGCUUCAAGUGUGGUUAUUUAAUUCAAAGACUUGCUGAAUUUUCUUAACUAGCUCAUAUCUCCCAAAUAAUUAGUCCUGUUUCCAAAGGACCCGUUUAAAUCUUUUAGGUCAUUGCAAACAGGCUUGAGUAUAUCUAUAUUUCCUCUUUGUUUUUAAAAAGUGAUAUCAUUUUAAAAAGUCUCCUCACCCUCUAAAUAGUGUCAUCCUCUUUUUGUCUCCUACAUAUAUAGAUCCAUCUAUUUCUAUCAUCUAUCAUCUCUUUAUGAUCACCUCUCUAAAAAAAGAACAUUUUUCAAAAGGAAGAGUCCAUUUGGAUUAAUAAUACUUCAUAUUGGAACUAUAUUUCAAUAUGCCUUCUUUGGGAGCAUGUUCAUAACAUCUGUAUUGGCUCAAAAGUUGUCAGAAAACUGUGGCUGAGUAUUGUGAAAACAUUUAACUUCCAUCUCUGGAGGUUGUCCCAGCCCCAAGAUAAAUAGUUGUUUAUCUGUAGUUCCUGUUUUGCUCAGUGCAAUGUACAUAUUCAGAAAGUAGCCAACACAGCAUUUAUUUUCUUCCAGAUGACAUAAUUACUUCAAAAAAACAAACACAAUAGAGUGCAUUGACAUUGGAAAUUCCAAGGUAUUCUUUUUUUUUUUUUUUUCUGGUUUUUCCUUGCCCUUUACCAAACAAUGGACCAGAUCUAUUGGUAGAAGAGUGACUCAGUAAGUACUGGUAUGUUUUAGGAAGAGGGUUGAAGACCUAAUUUCUUAUUCCUUCCCACUAACAACUUCCCUAAUAAAAGGCUUACAUAUAUGUAAUGUUUAUUUGUUCUAAGCAUAGCUUUAAAAGCUUUAAUUUAUGUUUAUGUAUUUAAUUCUCACCCUACAAAGUGGUAGUAUUAUGAUCUCUCUUCUGUAGAUGAGGAAACCUUACCCCAGAAAGGCUAAGGCACUUGCUGAAGGCCUUACAGUUAAAUGUAUACAAAUCCCUGAGGAUCUCCAGUGACCUUCAGUCUUCAAUCUUAGGUAGACUAAGAUUUGCUUCAGCCAUUAGAGAAAUUAUGAGGGCAUGAAAGAAUGAAAAAGACUGAGUGGUAGGAGAUGCCUUGGGGCAAGAAAAGGGAGAGUUCUAGAGGUUGCAAAGUGCAACUAUGAGAAAGGGAGCUUGGUCAGAAAUUCUGCUUAUCUCUGACUAGCUCAGGACUCUCAGUAAAGGUAUUCCAUUUUUCUGAAUCCCAUUUUUCUAUUUUAUAAAAAGCUGAUGAUAAAGCACUUUUAAUUGUGUUAUCAUAAUUAAAUAAUUAUGCAUCAUAGGCAUAGAGGAACCUUAGCUGUCAUCUACCCCCACCCCAAUCAAAGGCAAAGCAAGACAGCUGAGGGUAUAGCUCAGUGAUGCUGAGCUACAAGUUCAACAAGGAGACCUUCAGUUCAAUCCCCAGUGUGUGGGGUGAAAGUGGGGGCAAGGGCCAAGAAAGAAACUAGACAUCUUUGAAUCCACAAAAUUCAAUAGACAUAAAUGGACUUCUAAAGAAUUUUCCUUAGGACUGGAAAACAAAACAAGCCAACAAAACAAAAACCUAAAAGAUAAAGAAAGUGAUAUUCAUAAACAAUUUGCAUAGCUUGAAAUGUUCUUUCUUACUGCAUCCUAAACUUUAUAUGUUCUCCUUUCUUCCUACUCUUUUUCUUCCUCCUCCUGCUUCAUUUUCUCCCUUCAUUUCUUAGAACACUUUUUGAAAAAUUCCAGCUUUGACUCAGCUAACUAAGAGGGAAGAAGAGUAACUUUCUACAGAGGCCAAGAAAUCUAUGGAAAGCAGAAUGCCCUGGGGGACACCCCAGCUGCAAAACAAAAACAUGAAAAAGCUGGCUGAGCUGGGAGAGGAAUAUUCCAGAGGGAGGACUGUGGUGAAGACUAAAAAGUACACUCUUUCAGGUGCCAAAAUGUGUUGAUCAACAACAAUGGAUGGAUGGAUGAAUAUCUCAGUGACAGCCAUGGAACUCUCUAGACCUGAGCCUGUUUACUGAUAUAUCAGCAGUCCUGAUGACAACUUUCAAGGCUUAAGGAAUGCACUGGGGGAUGCUCCUGGUUAGGAAAGGACACUAGAAGAUAUAAAUUUGCAAGUUAAUGGAAACAAAUAUGGAGAGAAAAAAUUCCCAAAGUGAGCAGCUUUCCUCUGACAUGCCCUUCUGCCAUGAUGUUCCACUAUCACUUUAGGUCCAGCACAAUGGAGUUGCCAUGAUGGACUGAACCUCUGAAACUCAUCUUCUUGAUGAAUCUGGAUGCACGCUGCUGAUUCUGAGUGAGGGGAACCUUGGGCUUGUUAGAGCAGUGGCUUUGAGAAGCUCUUGUAAUACAGGACUCCAGGACUGGUCUUGGGAGACCGGCGCCACCCCAGUGAUGGACCUAUCUUGAAUGUAUGCAUUUUCUGGAACAAAACUUCAAAAGAAGCCACAGGAAACAGCUUGGGAGAAAAUCCACAGGGUCAAAGGACAAAUGUUCAAGCAGUCGCUUGAUGGCUACUAAACUAAUAAACAUUUACAACCAAUUCUCUCCAAGGGUUCCUAAUUUUGGUUGAUGAUCAGAAUCAACUGUGAAGGUUUAAAAUAUAUGAAGGUAUAAAAGGAAGGAAUGCCCAAUCAACAAAUGGGCCAAGGACCUGAACAGACACUUCUCAGAGGAGGACAUACAAUCAAUCAACAAGUACAUGAAAAAA
Non-coding RNA from Ictidomys tridecemlineatus (thirteen-lined ground squirrel), 4192 nucleotides. Lineage: Eukaryota; Metazoa; Chordata; Mammalia; Rodentia; Sciuridae. The record is from RefSeq and is a predicted model, not a curated record.